RNAcentral lists this long non-coding RNA (6599 nucleotides) under Eucalyptus grandis. RNAcentral's name for it is "long non-coding RNA (EGRA_LNC001700)". The record is from RNAcentral. Lineage: Eukaryota; Viridiplantae; Streptophyta; Magnoliopsida; Myrtales; Myrtaceae.
GCCAUAUUUUUCAUAUUGAAAUUUAUAACCAAACUUUUAUACAAAACAAAAACCACUUCAAAACUAUUCACAUCAAAAAGAGAUCUCAAAAGAAGGUAGACUUUCAGCCCAACCAGGCCAUACUCAAGGCCCCUCUCAGGUUUAUCUUCUUCUUCCAAAAAUCCUUCUCUUUAAGUUUCACCUCCGAAUUCUCCUUCUCAGACUCCUCCUCAUCAGCUCCUCAUCGGGGUCCUGAAAUGUUUUUCCCCAAACUGGGAUGAGACUACGUCUCAGCGAGUUCUACCCCACUAAGCCCGAUUAGUAGAACCACUAUACUAUAGGCUGCCUAUACACGCACANNNNNNNNNNNNNNNNNNNNNNNNNNNNNNNNNNNNNNNNNNNNNNNNNNNNNNNNNNNNNNNNNNNNNNNNNNNNNNNNNNNNNNNNNNNNNNNNNNNNUCACGAUCACUAGCAUAAAUUUCCGGUCACGGGCCAUCCCAGUUGAAUUUUCCGAAAAUAAAUAAUUAAUUAAUUAAUUUCAAAAAUUAAAUAAUUAAUAUUAAAAAUUCAAUUUAGCACAAACUAAAACUCAAUUAAACAAACGGACUUCACCAUGGUCAUCAGCAUAAUUUUCCGGUUCCAGGCCAUCUCAGUUGAAUUUUCAGAAAAUAAAUAAUUAUUUAAUUUAAUUCCGAAAAUUAAUAUUUAAAUGCCCAAAAAUCUCACUUAGGCCCGAAUUGCCAAAUUGGAGCCCACUAAGGGUCGGGAAAAAUCCCGAGGCACUUCCAAUAAUUAGUAGACCACGUCUACUUGUUAAUUGCACAAUCAAUUUAUCUAAAUCACAACACAAUUGACUAAUAAUUGCUAAUUUAUUCUAAUCUAACAACCUAAACACAAUUAAUUAAAACUAAACCAACCUUAAGCAUAAUUAGCCAACUAAUCCAGGAUUAGUGAGAUUACUCACCAAAUCGCGCGCAAAUCGGAUCAAUCCGACGGCGGCGGCGCGAGGAACGAUUGUCCCCAAAGCACGGCUCGGGUUCGGGGCCGGGAAACGGCCCAAAACGGCCCACGAACAGCUGGAUACCCACUCCGUGGGUUUGCUGGUUCAGCCGCAAAACAGCAAGAAAGAGAGAGGGUUGGGGGCGGCAAGAGGUCGAGAGAGCGGGUGGUGGCUUGGCGAGGCCAAGCGGUGGUCCACGGUGGCCGGAGGUGGCCGGAUCGUGGCUGGUGCUGGCCAAGACGGAGCUGAACAGAGGCGGCACGGGAGCUGGACGACGCACGGCGGGGACGGCAAACGCGAAGGGGCGGUGGCGGAGCGCGCGGCGUGCGCGGGUGGUGCGGACGGCGGCCCGGCGGCGUGCGGCGAGCUGCGAGCGAGCGGCGACGGAGCUGCAGCUUCUGGUCUUCCUCCGCUUCUGGUUAGAAGGAGAAGAAGAGCUGGUUCAUUCGCUCGGGCGUGCAGAGGAAGAAAGAGAAGAAAGAGAGAGAGAGAGAGAUAAGCAUUGACUGGUCAAAGAAAAGAGAGGGAAGUGAGCGGUGGGGGAUUUUCGCACGAGGGGGAGGGGAGAGGAGAGAGAAAGAAAAGAGAGAAAAGAAAGAAAAGAAAAGAAAAGAGAGGGAGAGAGAGAAAAAGAAAAAAGAACAAUAAUAUUCUAAAUUUUCUUUUUCUCUUUCCAUUUCCCUUUUCUAAUGCCUUCCGGUCUUCGAUUUUUCCUCCGAUAAUUUCUUUAUUGAAAUUUCGGACCCGUCAAUAAAUUGACGAGCGAUGAGACAGGAUCCUAUUUAUUCAGACAAAUUAAACCCGAAAAUCUGGAUGUCACAACUCUUCCCCUCUUAUAAAAAUUUCGUCCUCGAAAUUUAAACCUUUAUCAAUCCAUAAACGAAAGGUGGGGAUAUUGCCGUCUCAUCGAGUCUCACUUCUCCACGCUGAUCAUUCGGUCUCGUGGCGUUGUUUGACCAUUUUGACCAAGGAGAUCAUCUUGGUACACAAACUCUCCUCUUUCUGAACCAACAACUGAACUGAGCUUCUCACAAGACACUCUGUCAUCCACAUCUGAUCUCUUUUUCUUUACUCCUUAAUAAACCUUUGAACCUCAACGGUUCAAAAUUUCUGACAGCUCUGAGUAGCCUUUAUUCUGACAUUGAUCUGACAACUGCAAAUACUGAUCACUGAGCUGACUCUGGACUUGCGAUUUUCUGAUUUCUGAUCUCGUCUCAACCGAUUGAAAUCCUGUACACUCUGCUUUGCACAGAUUAAAAAGAAACUAUCUGACUGAUCUGCUGAAACUGGGAAUCUCUGGUCAAGAUCUUAUAUAACUCUGGUACUGAUCUUGGCAACUGUAAUCACUGGCUACUGCAAUGACUUUGGCCUGAAAUCUUUAUUCACUUUCUUUUCCCCACUGAAAUUCUGUACCAUCUGCUAUACACUGCUUAAUAAAGAAUCCUCUGAAAACUCUGCCGAACUUAUAAUCUCUGAUUUAGAUUCGAAAUAUAAUUCAUCCUCGACACUCCAUGCCGGCGAAUUAUUUAAUGCACACACACUUNNNNNNNNNNNNNNNNNNNNNNNNNNNNNNNNNNNNNNNNNNNNNNNNNNNNNNNNNNNNNNNNNNNNNNNNNNNNNNNNNNNNNNNNNNNNNNNNNNNNNNNNNNNNNNNNNNNNNNNNNNNNNNNNNNNNNNNNNNNNNNNNNNNNNNNNNNNNNNNNNNNNNNNNNNNCACUCGACACAUUGGCGACCCUCGAUUAUCGUGAAAAUCUUAAAGGUUCAAAUAUGGACACAGGGUACCAAAACGAUAGAAACAUCAAAUUAGUACCGGUCGAUGAGAAUUUUCCAAUUUAGUGGAGUCACCCACGAUCGGUCAUUCAUCUCAGUCGAGCCGAUCUAUUUCUGAUUUCAAAUCGAUUUUAUACUGUGCCGCAAUGAUCUCUAAAGAUGAGCACGGUCGAGGAGUCGAUCCAUGGUCGAAUUCUCAAGUCUAUUUGCCUUAAGGUCCUUAAUAACUCACCCAGCUAGUCUAGUUAUCUCAUGAGUGGCCAACUCAGAGAAAAACACUGUAAUUGCAUCGAGGAAAUGCCCAAUUUAUCUAAUCGAAAUCAGAGGCCGAAAUCUGGAUCGCACACUCAAAACAAGAUAUAUUCAUACUGUACCAAAGUGGACCAACUCCAUCUAUCGAUCAACCACUAUUCUCAAAUGGUAUCAGUAAUCCCCUGAAUCUUUAGUAAGCCUAUCACAAUGUUCCAUUGUGAUAUAUUUCCAUUUUCACUUGGGACUCUCAAGUGAUGGUAAAAUCCUCCCGAUUCGCAUUCCACUUACUGACACUUUUGACGCUUUCAACCUGCUUAGCUGUAUUUAUCUUCAUAUCAGCUUACUAAUCUAGCUCAUGCCGAUUCUGAUUUACUUGCACCAUCUGGACAAAGCUGCAAUAUUAUAGCGAACUUCUGACAAAAUCUUUUCCCUGAGUGCUACACUGUCAAGUGCACUCAAUUUCCUCAUGGAACCCAAACGUUCCAUUCUCAGAAGUUUUAAAGUUAGAUUCUUUCUUGCCAAUAUCCUCUUAUAAGAUCUCCUGAACAUCUCUGUCUGUCAACUAGGUGCCAAUUCUAACUUGAACAUUUGGUUCAAUUUUGAGGGCGGCUAUAAAAUUUAAAAGGUAGCCUACCUCAAAUUUGAAAACCAAAUUUCGAACCCUUUUUAAGUAAAGUUUAUACUUUAGCCAGCCUAUGUAUAAUCAAAGACUCUGGGCUCAACACAUAAAUUACUUCUUUCAUUCUCCCAAGAUAAUACCAGAUAACAUCAUUAUAGUUCUGCCAAAAUUCUGAUUCACGACACUGUUUCAUGUUCAACUUGUUGGGUCUCAACUGGCGGGACGGUUAUACAACAAUCUUCUCAUGUUGUAUCAAUACAUACCCAAUCGUUGGCAAGACACAUCACUAAAGGUUUCAUGCUUUCCAGAGCCAAAUGAAAGUUUAGCAUAAGUGCGGUGGCCUGAUCUUACUGAAGCUCUGGAAACUAUCCUCGUACUUAUCUAUGCCAAUGAAUUUCUCUUCUUUCUCAAGAGGUCAAGCCCAUGAUGAUACUGAUGCUGAAAAUUCUUUCACAAACCUUCCGUAGUAAUCUGUCCAAUCCCCACAACUUCUGAUCUCUGACAUUGAUGUCGGUCUCGGUCCAUUAACAACUGAUUCGAUCUUGGUUGGUUCCAUGAAGAUUCCUUUACCUGUAACCACACGACCAUUCUUAGGGGCAUCUUGUGAUUCUCAACACUUAAUGAACACCCUAUAAUGUCGCUAUACCACACGAUCACCGUUGAUCUAGAUAUUCUUUGAACACUCGAUUUGUCAAAUCUAUGACAGCGGCUGGAGCGUUCGUCAAAUCAGAUGGCUUUACAUUAUUCUCACAAGGACAAAAUCAAGUGCGAAAUGCCAUCUUCAAUAUAACCUCCUUCCUGGUUCUCAACUGACAAUAACCUGUCCUCAAGUCAAUUCUUGAAGACAUCCACACUCUUUAUAACAAGUCGUCUAAUUCGUCGAUCUUUGACAAUGAACACUUAUCUUUGAUUGUCACUUGAUUGGGUCGAUUAUAGUUGAUGCAUAAUUGCAACGAACCAUCUUUCUUUCUCUUUUCACAAAACUGAUGAUCCCUAAAGUGAUGCACUGAUAUGCAUGAAUUCAUCAUUCAUCAAUCCCCACAUCUGAACCAUUAGUUCUAUCAAUUCAAACAACAACCACCGGUAAGGACUUUUAGAGAAUGGUUCUGUUCCAGAUGUUAACUCAAUCGUAAUUCUAUCUUUUUCUCUGGCAACGGUCUGACCACUUUUCUGGCAACACUUCCAAGAAUUCUUGGACUACUGAGGAGUUCUCAAUUUUUAAUUCUUCAAUCUGUCUUAUCUCAGAUCAUUGCUCACUAAUCUCGAUAACUUCUGUCUGACAAUCAGGUUACCUCAAGUGACGAAAUCAAAGAAGUCAAGAACCCUUCUCAAUUCUCAGUAAAACUCGGUACUUCUACAUGCUCCUGGAAUAAGCUGGGUUACUCUACCAUAACAAUUCAUCACCAUAAAAUGCUCAAGAACCAAUUCUUUCUACACUUGACGAAUAAGUUAUACACCAACAGCCAAUCAAGUAUAACUCUAGUCAAUGGUUCUUUUCCUACAGCCUUAACAAACAACUGAAAUUCCACACUUACAAUCCCAACAUUCUCUGGCACUAUUCUGAUAAAAUCACCACAAAAUAUUCUUUCAUUGAAUAAGGCAUAGUCGGUUCCGUUCCUGUUCCUUUUGCCAUAUUGCUGGUGUUCCAAUGGUAGUAAUAGUGUUGGUGUUCUUCUUAAACCCCAACCGAUAGUCCUUCACUUGAUGGCCGUGCUCACUACCAUCAAAGCAUGUUCUAGUCAUUCUCGAACACAGGAUUAAUCCAUGCAUUCCUUCCAUACUUUCGGCACUCAUCAGGUGAGUCUUCUAUCUCCUGCCCAGUGACAGCACACACUCUUUCUGGUUGUCCUAUCGGUCUGUUAGAACCGCUCUCGACUUCGAUCUUUUCCCUGACCGAUUUCCAUUUCUGCCUGAACUGGAUCUGUACCUUGACUUGGAAGCGAUGGCUCGAUCCCAAAUCAUAUCCCCACUCUGGAUCUCAACAGGUGUAGUAACAAAGGCGCUUGCAGUACUAACGGCAGUAGUGAUAGCGACAACGACAACAGCUUGAUCUUGAACUUACUGGCUCAUUCAAUUCCCAAGAAGUACUUGCAUCAGAACGAUCCUAUCGAACUUAGGAUCAUUCGACGCUGCUACACUAGUACCAACCUGCAGUGGUACUCUUACACUUGAGCUGGCCAGAGCCGACACUCUGCCACAACCACCUCGGGUACCGACCUUUGUCAGUGCAUUAUCCCGAGUCACAGAGGACAUUGUCCUCUUACUAGGAGUUCUCAGCUCCUGCUCGCUCAUGGUUCAGUCUUUACACUGAAACCCGACUUCCAAAUCCACACUGGAUUAGAAGGUGAGCGAUCCACACACCACAAACAAUUUUGGCAUUCAGCUAACAUAAACAUGCACCAGCAUGAAUUUAAAGGCCUUUCCUACUAACUAUCCCAUGGUCAACGCUCCUUAUCACUCCAAUCUUCAACUUAGCUCUGAUACCACUUAAACAGGUUGUCACGCCCCGAUCCUCAGGCACGUGCACAUCCUUCUAUUUGGUCGAUUUUAUAAUGCGAUAUCCCAGGACUAGUAUCGCCGACCCUUUCUAUUAUUAAGCACAUGCGGAAGCAAUUAAAAUCCCCAGACAAUAAAACGAUGGGAUAGAAAAGCAGGGCCAUAUUUUUCAUAUUGAAAUUUAUAACCAAACUUUUAUACAAAACAAAAACCACUUCAAAACUAUUCACAUCAAAAAGAGAUCUCAAAAGAAGGUAGACUUUCAGCCCAACCAGGCCAUACUCAAGGCCCCUCUCAGGUUUAUCUUCUUCUUCCAAAAAUCCUUCUCUUUAAGUUUCACCUCCGAAUUCUCCUUCUCAGACUCCUCCUCAUCAGCUCCUCAUCGGGGUCCUGAAAUGUUUUUCCCCAAACUGGGAUGAGACUACGUCUCAGCGAGUUCUACCCCACUAAGCCCGAUUAGUAAACCACUAUACUAUAGGCUGC